GCCACUUUGACAAUUUGGCCUGAUUUUCAACUAAGUAUGGAUGGAUUUCUUGAUUGGGCUGGGAAUUUUCUUAUUGGGCCUUGCCCUCAAGAAUUUGGGCUUGUGAUCCAUCUCCUACCGAAAUUGAAUCGUUGAUGCUCGUAAUGGAGAUCCAAUGCGCUUUGGCUGCAAGAUUUGGUGUCUUGGACCAAGAUUCCCAAUAUUUGAAAUCUUGAUUUUCCCUUUCUUUUGUGUACGCAUCUAAGGCCUUACUAACAAACUCCUAGAUGGUCCCAUUUAGUUUGGAACGCAUUUGUCGGGCCUUUGAUCUCGUAUCAUUCCCCCCUUCCUCAAAAAGAUUCGUCCUCGAAUCUGAAAAAUCAAAUGGGGACAAGUCAACCACAUUAAAAGUAGAACUUACAUUGUACUCACCAGGUAGAUCAAUUUUAUAGGCAUUAUCGUUGAUCCUCUCGUGUACUUGGAAAGGCCCAU
This 471-nucleotide long non-coding RNA is filed under the name Gossypium barbadense (sea-island cotton). Its description in RNAcentral is "long non-coding RNA (GBAR_LNC017153)". Lineage: Eukaryota; Viridiplantae; Streptophyta; Magnoliopsida; Malvales; Malvaceae. The record is from RNAcentral.